Molecule: ribosomal RNA, 181 nt
Filed under: Nothoscordum texanum
Lineage: Eukaryota; Viridiplantae; Streptophyta; Magnoliopsida; Asparagales; Amaryllidaceae
Description: 5.8S ribosomal RNA
Rfam family: 5.8S ribosomal RNA (bases 6-161)
About the family: 5.8S ribosomal RNA (5.8S rRNA) is a component of the large subunit of the eukaryotic ribosome.
Source: RNAcentral
UGCACGACUCUCGGCAACGGAUAUCUUGGCUCUUGCAUCGAUGAAGAACGUAGCAAAAUGCGAUACUUGGUGUGAAUUGCAGAAUCCUGUGAAUCAUCGAGUUUUUGAACGCAAGUAGCGCCCGAGACCACCUGGUUGAGGGCAUGGCUGCCUGGGCGUCGCACCUAACGUCGCUUCAUGC